Molecule: ribosomal RNA, 245 nt
Filed under: uncultured bacterium
Lineage: Bacteria
Description: partial 16S ribosomal RNA
Rfam family: Bacterial small subunit ribosomal RNA
Source: RNAcentral
UAGGUGGCAAGCGUUGUCCGGAUUUACUGGGUGUAAAGGGCGCGUAGGCGGGAUAGCAAGUCAGGAGUGAAAUCUAUGGGCUUAACCCAUAAACUGCUUUUGAAACUGUUAUUCUUGAGUAUCGGAGAGGCAGGCGGAAUUCCUAGUGUAGCGGUGAAAUGCGUAGAUAUUAGGAGGAACACCAGUGGCGAAGGCGGCCUGCUGGACGACAACUGACGCUGAGGCGCGAAAGCGUGGGGAGCAAA